CGACCGGCGCACGGGUGAGUAACGCGUAUGCAACUUACCUAUCAGAGGGGGAUAGCCCGGCGAAAGUCGGAUUAAUACCCCAUGAAACAGGGGUCCCGCAUGGGAAUAUUUGUUAAAGAUUCAUCGCUGAUAGAUAGGCAUGCGUUCCAUUAGGCAGUUGGCGGGGUAACAGCCCACCAAACCGACGAUGGAUAGGGGUUCUGAGAGGAAGGUCCCCCACAUUGGUACUGAGACACGGACCAA
Molecule: ribosomal RNA, 243 nt
Filed under: uncultured bacterium
Lineage: Bacteria
Description: partial 16S ribosomal RNA
Rfam family: Bacterial small subunit ribosomal RNA
Source: RNAcentral